GACGAACGCUGGCGGCGUGGAUUAGGCAUGCAAGUCGAACGGUAUCAUCCUUUCGGGGGUGAGAGAGUGGCGAACUGGUGAGUAACACGUAGGUUAUCUACCCUCAGGACGGGGACAACCCAGGGAAACUUGGGCUAAUACCGGAUGUGAGCAACUUUUAGUUGUUUGAAAGGUGGCGUAAGCUGUCGCUUGGGGAUGAGCCUGCGUCCUAUUAGUUAGUUGGUGAGGUAACGGCUCACCUAGGCAAUGAUAGGUAGGCGGCCUUAACGGGUGGUCGCCCACACUGGGAUUGAGAUACGGCCCAGACUCCUACGGGAGGCAGCAGUCGAGAAUAGUCUACAAUGGUCGGAAGACUGAUAGUGCGACGCCGCGUGAACGAUGAAUCCCUUCGGGGUGUAAAGUUCUUUUAUAUGUGAGCAGUGCUUCUUAUAUUAACAGUAUGGGGAGAGAGAUAUUAGCAUAUGAAUAAGCAACGGCUAACUCCGUGCCAGCAGCCGCGGUAAAACGU
RNAcentral lists this ribosomal RNA (508 nucleotides) under uncultured bacterium. RNAcentral's name for it is "bacterial SSU rRNA". It matches the Rfam family "Bacterial small subunit ribosomal RNA", at positions 28 to 528 of the family's 1533-position model. The record is from RNAcentral.